UACGUAGGGGGCAAGCGUUGUCCGGAUUUACUGGGCGUAAAGGGUGUGUAGGCGGUUCUUUAAGUUUGGUGUGAAAUCUCCCGGCUCAACCGGGAGGGUGCGCCGAAUACUGAGGGACUCGAGUGCGGGAGAGGAAAGUGGAAUUCCUGGUGUAGCGGUGAAAUGCGUAGAUAUCAGGAGGAACACCGGUGGUGUAGACGGCUUUCUGGACCGUAACUGACGCUGAGACACGAAAGCGUGGGUAGCAAACAGG
This 253-nucleotide ribosomal RNA is filed under the name uncultured bacterium. RNAcentral describes it as "partial 16S ribosomal RNA". It matches the Rfam family "Bacterial small subunit ribosomal RNA", at positions 524 to 776 of the family's 1533-position model. The record is from RNAcentral.